CUGAUUUCUGAAACUCUUCAUUUUAAGGUUGUUGCGAGAUUCCAUGACUGCCGUUAACAGUCUACUAAAUGGUAACGCGACACCGCUACUCAUCAAUGGAGAUGGCAGAGCCUACGUUCACAAGGUUGGGCUCGGUGGUCGGGUUGACUCUUCCGGUACUCCAAACGAAAGCAACGCACCGGAAGGUCGCUGUUCAACCUGUUUGAGGCGCGUGAGCGGGGGCAUUGUGGGCUGGUUGGAGAACUCUUUCUACAGAUUAGGGAAAUUAGUGGCGCGCAACCCAUGGAGGUGUCUUGUCAUAUGCGUUAUCGUCUGUGGCGUGGCGGGGAUCGGAAUGACCAAAUGGCACGAAGAAAAUGAGUGUGGCUACCCCGGGAUUCCCGGAUGUACGAAGAACACGAAUGAGUGAUGAAGAACUUUCCAGACAGUAUACGCUACGAGGCGGUUAUAAUACAAGACGAAAAUGUCCUCUCCCCCCAAUCAGUAAAUGCUAUACUCGACAUUUAUUUACGUGCCAAAAACUUCGCCAUCAUCAACAACAGUUCAUUGUAAGAAAUAUGUAUAAGAACUGGCCCGGUAUGUCGCGUGAACAGUAUAUUAGAGUUAUAGGCCUACAACGAAACUGUGAUCAGAGCGCUAACAUCGCACGAUAUAUUUAACACCAUCAACCAACCAAG
Molecule: long non-coding RNA, 677 nt
Organism: Dreissena polymorpha
Lineage: Eukaryota; Metazoa; Mollusca; Bivalvia; Myida; Dreissenidae
Exons: 5
Source: RefSeq, a predicted model, not a curated record